UGCUAAUCUUCCUGAGCUGCUUGUUUGUUUUUGAAUGCUCAUUAGGCGUGUUGUUAUUGUUGUGCAGGUUCGAGGCCGUGACUCGUUUUGCCGGGCUGAACCCGCUGCUCUACUACGAUGACAGCCACAUCGGCACCAUCACUCUUCUACAAGCAAGGAUUAAGAGUCGCUUGAAUUUCCCUCAUGUGUACUGAUGUUCCCUCCUAAUAUACAGCACCUUUUUGCUGUUUGGAGAUUUUGCCAGGGUGAAGGUUUGGAUACUGUUGGUGAAGGGCUUGAAAUUCUGAAAAACAUGGUAGCUGCUGAUAUAAAUUCGGUCGCUUUUUUCUAGUUGAACGAUGGUAGGAAUCACAUGAAUUUUACUCUUGUGGUGCUUCCGGCUUCCCUGCUCCGUUUGCUAUUUUGGUAUAUUCCAAGAUGCAUAAUUUGAGAUGAUUCCUGUAGAUUUUAUUUCAUGUGUUUCAUUUGAUGGUCAUUAUAAUUACCAAACUUGCUAGAUGCAGAUUAAUAUUGUGAAGUAUAUAUAGUCCAUUAAAAUCCUAAUAUUUUCUCGAAGCGAACCAGUUCGAAAAUGAUUGCUAUUCAUUGAAUCUUUGUGCUUGUGAUUUGACAUAAUUUAAUAUUGAUGCCUUUUUCUUGCUCCACUUUGUUUCUUGAUUUAGCUGAACUAGUACAUUUGUUGUUUCUUAAGGAAUAAUGUUAAUUGUCCCUGGUUUCUGUAUCAUGGAUUAUUUAGAUUACCAUGAUAAGUAUCUGUACUUAUGUAGGAUCAGAAUGCACAUACAUUUGUUUUUGGUUCCUUAUUUAGUUUGGUAUAUGUACUUGAGCAUCUCUGUGAGUAUAGGUGCAUGCACUGCUGGUAUGAUCCAAUCGUCGCAUGGUUCCGUUUGAUCCAAUCGUCGCGCGCUUCCGCGAUCAUGCUUGAACUGUUGUGUACAAUAUCGUCGCCUUAUUAUUUUGCAGUCCUUUCGAAAUAUCUGUAUUUGCUUUGCUUAUCAUGCUCUGUUUAUUUUGUCCGAGGAUAACGAGGAGGACUGAGCGACCGUAGUGGCCCCUUCUUCUUCGACUCCAUGUGUUUUAUGGGUUCGAGGCUGUGAUUCACUUUGCUGGAAAAUCAAUGGCGGCCCGUGCCCAGCAGCCCCCGCACGUCGGCGGUCCGGUCUGGGUAGGUCCGGCCGUACCGGCUCCGACGACGACGGCCUCCCUCGUCGGCAGGCUGCGCGGCGUGAGAUA
Molecule: non-coding RNA, 1233 nt
Organism: Lolium perenne
Lineage: Eukaryota; Viridiplantae; Streptophyta; Magnoliopsida; Poales; Poaceae
Source: RefSeq, a predicted model, not a curated record